This 531-nucleotide long non-coding RNA is filed under the name Medicago truncatula (barrel medic). Its description in RNAcentral is "lncRNA gene8182". The record is from RNAcentral. Lineage: Eukaryota; Viridiplantae; Streptophyta; Magnoliopsida; Fabales; Fabaceae.
UAGUAUCAUUAAUAUCAUUAACAGAAAAAGGACAGACUUAUCAUAUGAUACUAGAUAACCACAAAAUGCUUGUCCACACAGUGGAGGUUGCAAAACCUUUGGUUGAACCCUCCUACAUGAUGACUAAUAUUUAGGUGUAUAUAAUAUAUGGUUUUCCCAUGUACAUAUCCACCUUUAUACAAAUAAUAGAACUUAAUAAUUAGCCAUACAAUUAUUGCCUAAAGGCUAAAGAAUUAAUUAGACAAUAAAUAAUUAAACAAUAUGCUAAACAAAUUAAUCAUUAAUUAUAAAAUCACACAGCUUAACUAGAAGGAUCUUCAUAUUUUCACUGUUUGAUAGAAUUCUUGUUAGGAACUUGAGAAAUCAUUCUUGUGUCUUGAGACUGCUUUUGAUAUUUUGAGAAUGAAUUAGAUCUUCCUUUCUUGUACCUCCUUCUUGGUUGUGUUGCUUGUGGGAUAAACACUCCUGUUCCUUUGCUUUCUCUUCUAAUCAAAGCUUGCUCAUAGAAGAAAUCAAACUGUGGAGGAGGAU